CUUAUUGUGGGUUCGAAGAGUAGGGCGGGACACGUGAUAUCCUGUCUGAAGAUGGGGGGACCAUCCUCCAAGGCUAAAUACUCCUGACUGACCGAUAGUGAACCAGUACCGUGAGGGAAAGGCGAAAAGAACCCCGGCGAGGGGAGUGAAACAGAACCUGAAACCGUGUACGUACAAGCAGUGGGAGCCUUCUUAAUGGGGGUGACUGCGUACCUUUUGUAUAAUGGGUCAGCGACUUAUAUUCUGUAGCAAGGUUAACCGUAUAGGGGAGCCGCAGGGAAACCGAGUCUUAACUGGGCGUUAAGUUGCAGGGUAUAGACCCGAAACCCGGUGAUCUAGCCAUGGGCAGGUUGAAGGUUGGGUAACACUAACUGGAGGACCGAACCGACUAAUGUUGAAAAAUUAGCGGAUGACCUGUGGCUGGGGGUGAAAGGCCAAUCAAACCGGGAGAUAGCUGGUUCUCCCCGAAAGCUAUUUAGGUAGCGCCUCGUGAACUCAUCUUCGGGGGUAGAGCACUGUUUCGGCUAGGGGGCCAUCCCGGCUUACCAACCCGAUGCAAACUGCGAAUACCGAAGAAUGUUAUCACGGGAGACACACGGCGGGUGCUAACGUCCGUCGUGAAGAGGGAAACAACCCAGACCGCCAGCUAAGGUCCCAAAGUCAUGGUUAAGUGGGAAACGAUGUGGGAAGGCACAGACAGCCAGGAUGUUGGCUUAGAAGCAGCCAUCAUUUAAAGAAAGCGUAAUAGCUCACUGGUCGAGUCGGCCUGCGCGGAAGAUGUAACGGGGCUAAACCAUGCACCGAAGCUGCGGCAGCGAC
RNAcentral lists this ribosomal RNA (819 nucleotides) under Erwinia sp. PsM31. Its description in RNAcentral is "partial 23S ribosomal RNA". It matches the Rfam family "Bacterial large subunit ribosomal RNA", at positions 393 to 1212 of the family's 2925-position model. Lineage: Bacteria; Pseudomonadati; Pseudomonadota; Gammaproteobacteria; Enterobacterales; Erwiniaceae. The record is from RNAcentral.